This 1010-nucleotide long non-coding RNA is filed under the name Equus caballus (horse). Its description in RNAcentral is "lncRNA (ENSECAG00000055878.1)". Lineage: Eukaryota; Metazoa; Chordata; Mammalia; Perissodactyla; Equidae. The record is from RNAcentral.
GUCAGAGGAGGGCGUGGACUCUGAGCCUCAGAAGCAGGAGCUGACAGAGAAGAACCAAGUGUGCUGGCGCGUGUGCAGACAGGUUCCUGGAGCAAGAGUGAGGAGAUCAGGGUCCCAUCACUGGGACACUUUAGCUCUUCAUGCAGAUGACGGACCCCAUGGCGUCGGGUGGCUGAGAGGAUGCAGCUUCUCAGGACUCUGCACUGGAUGGCUGAUAGAUGGGAAGCAUUUCGGGUGUAAGGACCUUCCAGCGCUUCGCGGGUGCCACAGAAAGCUGACGCGAUACGGCGACCAUGACGACAUUGUAAUAGAGACAGAGGUGGCCUCGCGAGAAGAGCAGGUCCCGCCUUCAGGUGUUGGGUACUCAGCUGAGAUGGGAGACCCCACGGUGGGGGAUGAACGGCCCUGGGACGUGGAGGAGACAAAGGGACCCAGAUCCAAGGCGGGUCUUUCCCGCUUUGGGACUCAGAGUCCCGGCGGGCUCGUAGGUAAAGGCACUGGGGUCUCGCCGGUCCCAGUGAGUGUGGCGUCCUGCCCCAAGGGUGUCCUACAGAUGCUUUCCUUCUAAAUUCAGGGACGCGGGAGAUGACACAGGGAACGGCUCUCUCUGAGCCCCAGUUGCCCCCUCUGUUAAACGGGAUGAGAAUGCUCAAACCCCAGGAUCGCUGGGAGCGUUCAGUGACAACACGUGAGUAAGCCCAUGGCCCUGUGGUUACUGCGGGACCGUGAGUGUCUGCAUGAAUUCCGGCCACUUGUUAUUGUUUUCAACUUUGUCGUUAGGGGAUAGAGGAGGAAAAGAGAGAAAAAAGACCCUGAUGACAGCCCGUUGUACUUUCUGGGUGUUAUGAUCACUACCCACUUGUAUCAGUGUCAUUGUCACUAUCCCGGUGCCUAGCCUGGUGCGGGGCACACUGUUACUCCAGGAAAGCAGAGUGAUUGCUGGAUCUGUCUCUGCCUGUGCAGCUCUUCAUGCUGCUGGCCGAGCUCCUAUCAGGCGUCUGAAGGAGGCA